UCCCAGUUUCGCGUGAUUCCGACCAAGUUCUGUUAUAUAGCUCGAAAACAGAAACAAUAUUAUCUGCCGGUCGAUUCGAAGCACACAACGACCAGCCGGAUUAUUACGCGGUUUUUGCACCGUGACCCUGGAACAACCGGGCUCUCGACGAUGGAUUCUGACUUCCUCCGCGACGUCGUUGUAAAAGCUACGAGAUUCUGCAGCUUCUUGCUACCGGCGAGAAGCAGCACUCUCGAGGUGCGGGACAUUCGUGAUUGAUGGAUCCUCUCUCCGAGUGGUCUCUCCGGCGAAUCAGACUCGGCCACACUCUCUCUUCUCCUAACGUUCGUUCACAGUUCUUCUUCUGUGGUUGCUUCGCAGUUUCUUCUCACCACUAGAACGUACGCCUUCGCAUCCGAUGAGAGUCGGCUUUCUAAUCAAGAAUUAUUGGUCACACUCGACUGCUUGGUUCACCUGGUUCUCCAGAAGGUGGUAGCCAGUAUUCUCCUGCCAUACAACGUAACGCAACCAUGUCACAUGGAGACGGUGUCGAUUCGGCAGAUGAUUGAGACUUUCUCGAAGGUAGAUCGGAAUCGAUCCAAGCACACGGAGGAUUCGAGAUAGCACCUGAGGGGGUGGGUUUCGUGCCGGACGAGCUGGCAUGGAUCCACCGUGUCGUCGACGGUGUUUCCAGUUCAAGGUCAACGGGAAUCUAGGAUGGGUCGCAUGUCGAAGGAACCAGAGCGACGACGAUGUAUCGGCGUUCGGUGGUCAGCCACAUGGCGAAUUAAGGGUCAGCCCAUUACCGAUUUGACCUCGGAUGACCCGGCAGUGUAUACAGAGCUGGUUGCGUGCUGCUUGAUUCAAUUAACCCCACGACACACAAACACGCGCGCACACGCACGUAUUGCGUUCUAUGCUUACGCGGACGCGUUUGCACGUGUGGGACCGUCGGUCGAGUGGUCGAAGUACUUCGGUCGAAGAACGAAGCACGACCGAUGCCACGACAAAUUGGCGAACCUCGUUGUACUCGUGAGGGAAUCGUAGAGAAACGGGGCUGGUGGGGCGAAUUGAAUCUCAGAUACGACAAUUAGAUCGUAGAAACGGGUUUGAGGAAGAAAUCGUUGAAGAGAAUAUAGUUUUCUGGGAAUUACAGGAGUAUUGUAUUAUAAAUGGUUUAAAUGCCCGAUUUAGGUUUUAACUUCAUGAAGUUUAUGGGUUUGAUGAUUAAGGUGUGUUCCGUAUUUAUAAAAUAUACAAAAUAAAAUACUCGUCAUAAUA
This is a long non-coding RNA of Bombus terrestris (buff-tailed bumblebee), 1260 nucleotides long. RefSeq lists it as uncharacterized. NCBI's taxonomy places the organism in Eukaryota, Metazoa, Arthropoda, Insecta, Hymenoptera, Apidae. The transcript has 2 exons. The record is from RefSeq and is a predicted model, not a curated record.